CCUACGGGGCGCUGCAGUGGGGAAUAUUGGACAAUGGGCGAAAGCCUGAUCCAGCCAUGCCGCGUGUGUGAAGAAGGCCUUCGGGUUGUAAAGCACUUUCAGUGGGGAAGAAAGCCUUGGGGCUAAUACCCUCGAGGAAGGACAUCACCCACAGAAGAAGCACCGGCUAACUCCGUGCCAGCAGCCGCGGUAAUACGGAGGGUGCGAGCGUUAAUCGGAAUUACUGGGCGUAAAGCGCGCGUAGGCGGUCUGAUAAGCCGGUUGUGAAAGCCCCGGGCUCAACCUGGGAACGGCAUCCGGAACUGUCAGGCUAGAGUGCAGGAGAGGUAGGUAGAAUUCCCGGUGUAGCGGUGAAAUGCGUAGAGAUCGGGAGGAAUACCAGUGGCGAAGGCGGCCUUCUGGACUGACACUGACGCUGAGGUGCGAAAGCGUGGGUAGCAAACAGGAUUAGAUACCCCGGUAGUC
This 465-nucleotide ribosomal RNA is filed under the name Vreelandella stevensii. Its description in RNAcentral is "partial 16S ribosomal RNA". It matches the Rfam family "Bacterial small subunit ribosomal RNA", at positions 338 to 795 of the family's 1533-position model. The record is from RNAcentral. Lineage: Bacteria; Pseudomonadati; Pseudomonadota; Gammaproteobacteria; Oceanospirillales; Halomonadaceae.